GGUUAUGGCUCAGUGGUAGAGCACUUGCCUCGCACAUGCAAGGCUCUGGGUUCAAUCCUCAGCACCA
RNAcentral lists this transfer RNA (67 nucleotides) under Marmota monax (woodchuck). RNAcentral's name for it is "tRNA.Ala". Lineage: Eukaryota; Metazoa; Chordata; Mammalia; Rodentia; Sciuridae. The record is from RNAcentral.